This 28-nucleotide small RNA is filed under the name Bombyx mori (domestic silkworm). Its description in RNAcentral is "ovarian small RNA-15529". The record is from RNAcentral. Lineage: Eukaryota; Metazoa; Arthropoda; Insecta; Lepidoptera; Bombycidae.
GACGAACUGACCUCCAGCGGGCGCCCGU